Molecule: non-coding RNA, 30 nt
Filed under: Mus musculus (house mouse)
Lineage: Eukaryota; Metazoa; Chordata; Mammalia; Rodentia; Muridae
Source: RNAcentral
UAGACUGUUUAGUCACUGCACCUUCUUUGA